Molecule: ribosomal RNA, 429 nt
Filed under: Chloroflexota bacterium
Lineage: Bacteria; Bacillati; Chloroflexota
Description: Chloroflexi bacterium partial 16S ribosomal RNA
Rfam family: Bacterial small subunit ribosomal RNA
Source: RNAcentral
UGGGGAAUAUUGCACAAUGGGCGCAAGCCUGAUGCAGCCAUGCCGCGUGUGUGAAGAAGGCCUUCGGGUUGUAAAGCACUUUCAGCGGGGAGGAAGGCGUUAAGGUUAAUAACCUUGGCGAUUGACGUUACCCGCAGAAGAAGCACCGGCUAACUCCGUGCCAGCAGCCGCGGUAAUACGGAGGGUGCAAGCGUUAAUCGGAAUUACUGGGCGUAAAGCGAACGCAGGCGGUUGAUUGAGUCAGAUGUGAAAUCCCCGGGCUUAACCCGGGGAUUGCAUCUUAUACUGGUCAGCUAGAGUCGUGUAGAGGGGGGUAGAAUUCCAUGUGUAGCGGUGAAAUGCGUAGAGAUGUGGAGGAAUACCGGUGGCGAAGGCAGCCCCCUGGACAAAGACUGACGCUCAGGUGCGAAAGCGUGGGGAGCAAACAGG